GAUUAACGCUAGCGGCAGGCAUAAUACAUGCAAGUUGAACGUGAUCAAUUGUAGCAAUAUGAUUGUGAAAGUGGCGCACGGGUGCGUAACGCGUAUGCAACCUGCCUCCAACCGGGGAAUAGCCCCUCGAAAGAGGGAUUAAUACCGCAUAACAUAACCGGACGGCAUCGCCUGGUUAUCAAAAUCAAGGUGGUUGGAGAUGGGCAUGCGUGACAUUAGCUAGUUGGUGAGGUAACGGCUCACCAAGGCAACGAUGUCUAGGGGGUCUGAGAGGAU
Molecule: ribosomal RNA, 276 nt
Filed under: uncultured bacterium
Lineage: Bacteria
Description: partial 16S ribosomal RNA
Rfam family: Bacterial small subunit ribosomal RNA
Source: RNAcentral